Zea mays is the source of this 403-nucleotide long non-coding RNA. RefSeq lists it as uncharacterized. The record is from RefSeq and is a predicted model, not a curated record. The transcript is spliced from 2 exons. NCBI's taxonomy places the organism in Eukaryota, Viridiplantae, Streptophyta, Magnoliopsida, Poales, Poaceae.
CUCUUCGUCGAACCGAAAGCACCACCAGCGACAAAGAGAGAGCGCAACGAGCAGUGGAGGAGCCACCACCACCGCCAUGAGCUACGAAGCACAGCCACCGAGGUCAAUGCACGCUCGCCAUUGGCCGCUCAAUGCCGUGGUUGGGCUUCGUCGCCUCUUCAUCACCGGUCAAGAACAAGUACCGCCAAGAUGAGGAGCAUGAAGGAUGCUACGAUGAGUUCGGGAGGUCUAGUCCGAUGUCUCCCAAUCAACUAUGGUUGCAGAGGAUCAUUGUUGUCAUAUAAUGUAUAUUUAUGUAGCUGUUUUGUACAAAACUUCUAUUAUAUAAUAAAGAUGUAACAUUGAUUUAUGUACCAUGAGUAGUCAUAUGUGUGAGACUUGAACCUAACACAAAUUUAAGACA